This 3021-nucleotide long non-coding RNA is filed under the name Equus caballus (horse). Its description in RNAcentral is "lncRNA (ENSECAG00000043202.2)". The record is from RNAcentral. Lineage: Eukaryota; Metazoa; Chordata; Mammalia; Perissodactyla; Equidae.
CAAUAGUCAACCCUUAGACAUCCAGGACACUAGGGAGACCACCCGGGUCCCUAGGCCACUGCCCUGCAUCCUGUCCUUUGAAUCUGACCUCAUCCAUUAGAGCACUUGCUCUCCCGCAGCCCUCUCCUUCCAGCGGUAAGACCAAAGGUGGUAGAGGCAACCCCAAAAUCCACUUGAAAGGCUGGCCAAUGAGUGAGUUUUUCAUGAUCUAAAAGGUUAUGAAGUAAAAGAGAGACUGAGCCUGCGGCACCAGAGAGGCCUGUCGUUAGAAGGAGGGAAAAACAGAGCAAACACAUAUAACUCACCCUGCCCAGGGUGCUGAGAACUGGAGACCGCCUCCCUGCCUUUUUCACCCUGGCGGUGAUGAGCACAGGGGACAUCAUUCUCUGUCUAGACAGUGUCCUGUGGCACAGGGCCGCCCUAUGACAAGUCUCCUGAAGGUCCUGCUCUCACUUCCCUCCUGACGGAAACACUCAGGCUGGCCCAGCUAACCUCACUAAGUGCCCACACCCAAGAACUGCCCGUAGGGGCGGCCUCUCCCGUGUCCCCUGUGCCCCCGGCCCAGAGCCUUCUCCGGGAGCCCACAGAGAGCUGGAGAAGAAGGAGAGCAUCAGGGCCACUGCGUGUGGGUGUGGAGCUUGGCCUGAGGGGACAAGUGGGGCUGCUUCUGUCAACUGGAGGGGCCCAGUCAUCCCAGAGCUGGCCCUUGUUCUAACAGCCACAGAGGCUCCAAGAAGGUGGAAGGGGGCUGAUUCCUCCAGUUCUCCCAGAAACUGCACACCAACCCCCUUCACUACGUUUCUGCACUCAGAGGCUGCCUCUAACCAAAGAGAGGGGCAGCUGCAGGGUUGGCACAUCGCCUGCCGUAAAUCAGGACAUUCAGAAAGGCGGCUCAAGACAGGUAGACCCUAGCCACGUGUGGCUUCAGGCUCUUGAAACACGGCUGGUCCAAAUGGAGAUGUCCUGAACCUCAAGAGGGGAAAGGGAAAAAAAACCUGUCCAUGGACCAAGCAGGCAGUAAAGGGCUGGCAGCUGUACAGCCCAAGGGGAAAACAAAAUCUGCUCGUAUAACUACUUACAAGGCAGUUUUCUCUAAAUUUCCAAAACAAGUCACCCCAAAUCAAAUUGCUUGAGAAGAAUGGGGGUGCUGAAAUAGAAACACCCCAAGUCUUGUUGCUGAAGAAUGUUUUUCACAAGGCACCAUUUUCUAAAAUAGCUGAAUGUGCUACAUCAAGCUACCUACUAUCUACUGAAAAUAAAAUAACUACUUAAAAACAAUUUCUCCCUCCAUAUAUACACAUAUUUAUUUCCUAACCCCACUUCCCAUUUAAGGAUGUAAAUUUAUUUUAAAGUAAUUUGCUUUUGUUGAGAAUCAUCACCACCACCACCACCAAAACCUUUCAUUUUCUUUUUUUCCUGCUUUUUUUCCCCAUCAAUCAUGGCUGUCAGAGGCUCCCAAAACUUUAUAAGAGAAGCAUUUCUCAAACUAAGUUAGCCCAAAAAAUUGUGAUGGAAGCAAUAGACAUCACUGCCAGCCUGCAUCUUCCUUGUCCUCCCUCCCUUCUCUUCUCUGCCAGUGAAUGCACAGCAUCCAGGAGGACUCAGGGCACUAGAAGAUGGCAGUACCUCCAGACGUAAGGAGCCCAAGUGACAGCAUGCAGGAGUUCCUCCCUCCCCAGCCCACACCUCGAAGAGACUUGCACAGGACUGUAAUGAGAGUGAGAAAUAAACCUUUUUAAAAGCCCCUGAGAUAUUGGGGUCAUGUAUUACAACGCUUAGCCGUUCUUGAUUAAUAUAGGUUAAGAAUUCCUCCAUUGUUUCAAUAGUGGUGUUUGUUAGCCCAAUUUGAUCUUUAAGCAGUGAAACUUCAAAAGUAACAAGACAAUUUUUUUCACGCUGAAGUGGUAGACACAAAAUAAUACUGAUAUUUUAAGUCCACUUUUUUUUUUUUUGACAUCACAAAUGGGCAUAUGUUUUCGUAGUGAAACUGCUCUCAUUAAGAAGCUUUACUGCUGGAGAAAAUAAGCCUUCCCUCUGUCUGAAGCGCUCCAACAGCAAAGACAGGCUGAGUUAGAGAUGCUGGCAUUCCACAGCCAUAUCCUCAGGCCCUUUUCUUCAUCAGGUUCUCUCUCGUAUGUGCGGUUGACCUAAAAUCCCAUCCCCUCUUGAAUAGCCUGAACGGCCGUGUGUGGAGUAGGAAUUAUAGUGCUUCCUCCCUCCCACAUUUAGUUUUUCUGUCUCUACCUUCAUAACUUUUAGAAGCUUAAAGCUCCUUUUUUUUUAGCAUUCAACCCAGAGAGAAAUACUAGUGCAUUAGAAUGCUUUGAGUAUUCCUCUUGAAAAGCAUUUCCUCUUUUGGAAACUUGAGUAAUUUCUAAAUCAGUAAGGCAGGCAUGCAUAGCGAAUAGGGAAAAUACUGCAGAAUGCAGUUUUCUGGCCCCUCUGGUUCAUUCUCAGGAUGGAGAAUUCCAUUCUCAGCAGUGGAUAAGUCCAUCGGAGCAUAGUAAAAUAAAAGAACGUGGCAGAGCAGCCUUUGUAAAAAUGAUAGACAUUUUUCAAAUGAACUAACAUAGUGGCCAUGUACCUACAUAUCUAAAUAAAAUACUUGCAGAAUCAGAAAAUACAGUUUGAAACUCAGUAGUCACGUAGUCUUAUAGUUAGCUUGGGCACUAAAUGGGAUGUUAAGAGAGGAGCAUAGAGUUGUGAGAAUCUUAUGAUCACUGUCUGUCAGACCCUUGGUAGAACAGCACAUCCUGCUGUGGUCCAUGAUGCCGAAGAACGUGUACUACUUGAAGAAAGUUUAGAGGAGAAUCACAGACGUGCUUAAAGAGAACGACGACAAGAUCUACUUGGAGAAAGAAAACCUGUAAAGUAACUAAACCACAGUUUCCAAGUAUAUAAAGGCUUUGCUUCCUUUCUUUGGAGAGAAAAAAAGACAUACAAGAAAAAAUGGACUCAACUCCAACUCUUUGGAGACUUGAGUUAGACAGUGGGCCAGCGAGUGCUGGGGGAGCAUUCCUA